RNAcentral lists this ribosomal RNA (255 nucleotides) under uncultured bacterium. Its description in RNAcentral is "partial 16S ribosomal RNA". It matches the Rfam family "Bacterial small subunit ribosomal RNA", at positions 524 to 776 of the family's 1533-position model. The record is from RNAcentral.
UACGGGGGGAGCAAGCGUUGUUCGGAUUUACUGGGCGUAAAGGGCGCGUAGGCGGUCAGCACAAGUCAGUUGUGAAAUCUCCGGGCUUAACUCGGAAAGGUCAACUGAUACUGUGCGACUAGAGUGCAGAAGGGGCAACUGGAAUUCUCGGUGUAGCGGUGAAAUGCGUAGAUAUCUGGAGGAACACCGGUGGCGAAGGCGGCAUCCUGGACCAACACUGACGCUGAGGGAGCGAAAGCCAGGGGAGCAAACGGG